RNAcentral lists this ribosomal RNA (2471 nucleotides) under Tsengia laciniata. RNAcentral's name for it is "partial large subunit ribosomal RNA". It matches the Rfam family "Eukaryotic large subunit ribosomal RNA", at positions 87 to 2860 of the family's 3401-position model. The record is from RNAcentral. Lineage: Eukaryota; Rhodophyta; Florideophyceae; Halymeniales; Tsengiaceae.
CGGCGAGCGAAGCGGGAAAAGCCCAAAAUGAAAAGCCAGCUUGCUGGCGUUGUAGUUGAGCGACCUUGGGGUGUCAGUCUGGGUAAGUCGCAUGGAAAUGCGUGCCGUGGAGGGUGAGAGCCCCGUCCAUCCCAUUCAGGACACUCCGCACAAGGGCGUUUCAGACGAGUCGGGUAGCUUGGGAAUGCUGCUCUAAUUGGUGGUAAAUCUCAUCAAAGGCUAAAUAACGGUGGGAGACCGAUAGCGAACAAGUACCGUGAGGGAAAGAUGACAAGCACUUUGAAAAGAGGGUGAAAAGAGCCUGAAACCGUUACGGGGGAAGCGGAUCGCGUUGGCCUGGUGGCCGCCUGUGUGUUCAGCCCUUUUGGGUGCAUUGAUGCAGGUGGUUAUCCGUUGUGGCUUCUCGGUGGCCGAAUUUGGGCUGUCGGGGGGUGAGGGCUCCCUUCGGGUGAGGACGACGGAGUGACGACGCGAUACGACCCGUCUUGAAACACGGACCAAGGAGUCUAGCGCGGGUGCGAGUCGGAGGGUGUUAAAACCCGUGGGCGAAGUGAAAGCGAGUUUAAAAACGAGCAGUUUGGGGCGGCAUAGAAUCGUUGAUUCUAGGUCCGACCUUGAGCAGUUGCGCUGGGACCCGAAAGAUGGUGAACUAUGCCGGAGUAGGGCAAAGCCAGAAGAAAUUCUGGUGGAGGCUCGUAGCGGUGCUGACGUGCAAAUCGCUCGUCGAACUUGGGUAUAGGGGCGAAAGACUAAUCGAACCAUCUAGUAGCUGGUUCCCUCCGAAGUUUCUCUCAGGAUAGCAGGCCGACAAGUUGUUUUGUGCGGUAAAGCGAAUGAUUAGCGUACUCGGGGACGUUUAGUCUUCGGACGAUUCUCAAACUUUCAAUGCGCAAGGGUACCGGUGCUUUGUUGAGCGGUACCGAUAAAAACGUCGGCCUUGUGGGCCACUUUUGGUAAGCAGAACUGGCGAUACGAUGGAUGGCGCUUAAGCGGGCGACCGACACCAUGCCGUCUGUGAAAUAAUUCAGAUGAGUAGGAGGGCGUGGCGGCCGUGUCGAAGCGUGCUUGCAGAGGCAUGUGGAACGGCCGCUAGUGCAGAUCUUGGUGGUAGUAGCAAAUAUUCAAGCGAGAUCCUUGAAGGGCGAAGCGGGGAAGGGUUCCACGCGAACAUUGAUUGGGCGUGGGUGAGUCGUUCCUAAGCCGAGUGGCGAUUGCUAAGUAGCGGCGAAAGGGAAGCGGGUUGACAUUCCCGCACACGGAUGUGGAGGCGGUGACGCUUUAUUGGGGCGAACACGCUGGCGGUGGCGCUGGGCAGAGUUGUCUUUUCUGUUUGACCGCUGAUGCACGCGGUGUGGAAUCCGCUUGUCGGGAGAAACACGCGUGUACGGGCAGAGCGCCGGGGCUUUUCCGGCGUCCAGCUCGCCACCGACGGCCCUUGAAACUUUGCCUGCUGGUAUUUUUUAUUAAGAUCCACGCCGUGGCGUACCGAUCACCGCAUCAGGUCCCCAAGGUGAACAGCCUCUGCUCGAUAUGAACAAUGCAGGUAAGGGAAGUCGGCAAAUUGGACCCGUAACUUUGGGAAAAGGGUUGGCUCUAGUGCUGCGUGGGAGUGGUUGUCGAGUGUUGGUGUGUUUAGGCUUGCUGGAAUGAGCGCGGGCCUUCGGGACUGUGUUUAUCUGGCGGGCCCGGGCGCGCCACGCUCGACGACGCCCACAGCAUGCAGCAGACUAGAACUGCAACGGAAGGGAAUCCGACUGUUUAAUUAAAACAAAGCAUUGCGAGGGCCGUGGCCGGUGAUGACGCAAUGUGAUUUCUGCUCAGUGCUCUGAAUGUCAAAGUGAAGAGAUUCAAUCAAGCGCGGGUAAACAGCGGGAGUAACUAUGACUCUCUUAAGGUAGCCAAAUGCCUCGUCAUCUAAUUAGUGACGCGCAUGAAUGGAUUAACGAGAUUCCUACUGUCCCUAUCUGCUUCUAGCGAAACCACAGCCGAGGGAACGGGCUCGGCGAAAUCGGCGGGGAAAGAAGACCCUGUUGAGCUUGACUCUAUUCUAAUUUUGUGAAGCAAGCUGGGAGGUGUAGCAUAGGUGGGAGACUUCGGUCGUCCGUGAAAUACCACUACUCCCAGUCUUGCUUUACUUACUGGGUCGGUGUGGAUGAGUCUUACGACUCUUUUCUGGAACCAACCUGAUUUAAUUCGGGGACCACAGCUCAGUACACAUUUAGGAGGGGAGUUUGGCUGGGGCGGUACAUCUUCUACAAGACAACGAAGGUGUCCAAAGAUAAGCUCAGUGAGAACAGAAAUCUCACGUAGCGCAAAAGGGUAAAAGCUUGUUUGAUUUUGAUUUUCAGUGCGAGUCAAAAACGCGAAAGCGUGGCCUAUCGAUCCUUUCACGAUUCGAGAUUUGAAGCGAGAGGUGUCAGAAAAGUUACCACAGGGAUAACUGGCUUGUGGCGGCCAAGCGUUCAUAGCGA